CGCCCUUCGCAAAAGAUUCUUGAUGUAUGAAGGGUCCUGCCUGCCCAGUGACUUUUAGUUAAACGGCCGCGGUAUCUUGACCGUGCAAAGGUAGCAUAAUCAUUUGCCUCUUAAAUAGAGGCUGGUAUGAAUGGCAAGACGGGGGUUUAGCUGUCUCUCUUUUAAUUGAGUUGAAUUUAAUUUCUUUGUGAAGAAGCGAAGAUUGGAUCGCAGGACGAGAAGACCCUGUCGAGCUUAAGUAAUGAAGAUAAGCAUAAAAAAUACUCUUUUAUUAAUAAUACCUUUUAAGGGAUGUGAUUUUUAUUCAAGGUAUGAGUGUGCUAUGUCAGUUUUAUUUUGAUUGGGGCAAUCGCGGAGAAAAUAAAACCUCCGUUAUAAGUGUUAAUGUUGUAAAGUAACUUCUUUAUUGUGUAGGAAUACGUAUUUUUGAUCCACGUGGAGUGAGUGAAGGAACAAGUUACCGCAGGGAUAACAGCGUAAUUUUUUUGGAGAGUUCAUAUUGAUAAAAGGGUUUGCGACCUCGAUGUUGGAUCGGGAUUUCCAGGAGAUGCAGCAGUUUCCAAGGGUUGGUCUGUUCGACCAUUAAAAUCCU
Molecule: ribosomal RNA, 592 nt
Filed under: Tosia australis
Lineage: Eukaryota; Metazoa; Echinodermata; Asteroidea; Valvatida; Goniasteridae
Description: partial 16S ribosomal RNA
Rfam family: Bacterial large subunit ribosomal RNA
Source: RNAcentral